CUCGUAGAGCUUCAGCGACGACUCCAGCUUCUUUAUCGACUGCUUCUCACGCUUCGCGAACUGCUUCGACUCCUUGCAUGGGGUGAGCCCCGAGAUGUCGGCGCCGGCGGGGAGAGGGGCGGAGAGGAGGAUGGAGGAGAGGGCCAGCGCGGCGGAGAACGCCUUCAGGUCGGAGGACACGUUGUUGUUGUUGUUGUUGUUGGUGGUGCUGCAGACGAUGGUGGUUGUGGCGGCGGACCUUAGCUUUGGGCUUAGUUUGGGGCGGAGGGCGGCGGGCUUGGAGAGGUUGGAGGGAAUGGUGAGAGACAUUGUUGGAUGCGAGGG
RNAcentral lists this long non-coding RNA (324 nucleotides) under Glycine max (soybean). RNAcentral's name for it is "long non-coding RNA (GMAX_LNC000954)". Lineage: Eukaryota; Viridiplantae; Streptophyta; Magnoliopsida; Fabales; Fabaceae. The record is from RNAcentral.